This 21-nucleotide non-coding RNA is filed under the name Caenorhabditis elegans. Lineage: Eukaryota; Metazoa; Nematoda; Chromadorea; Rhabditida; Rhabditidae. The record is from RNAcentral.
UCGUCCGAAUAUCGUCUUAUU